RNAcentral lists this long non-coding RNA (372 nucleotides) under Populus trichocarpa (black cottonwood). RNAcentral describes it as "long non-coding RNA (PTRI_LNC001097)". The record is from RNAcentral. Lineage: Eukaryota; Viridiplantae; Streptophyta; Magnoliopsida; Malpighiales; Salicaceae.
GUUCAUUGAUGUUAUAAAGAACUUCAACAAGAGUUUCAGAGAAAGGCCUACCAUUAACAACAGCUUCUUGUGCUCUCCUCACUUUAGCAGCAGCAACAAGCUUCAUAGCCUCAGUGAUCUUCUGCGUGUUCUUCACUGAUUGAAUACGAGUCCUAAGCUCACGAAGACCACAGUGAAUUGGGGUCACAGAAGUGGAUCUUGAAGGGUUGUUUGCAGCAGGUGAGCUUGGAAGCUGAAAAGGGUUGAGAGAAGAGCGAAAGGAAAGUGAAGUGGUGUCAGAAAGAGAAGGUUUUGAGGACACCAACAUUGUCAGAUUUGAGCAAGACAUUGUGGUGAUGAACUUGUUGGGGCUCUAGCUAGGUAACCACGAGA